Long non-coding RNA from Nycticebus coucang (slow loris), 10074 nucleotides. RefSeq lists it as uncharacterized. The record is from RefSeq and is a predicted model, not a curated record. The transcript has 5 exons. NCBI's taxonomy places the organism in Eukaryota, Metazoa, Chordata, Mammalia, Primates, Lorisidae.
AAGUCGUGGGGGAAAGAAGCCAAGAGCCAUCUCCACUCUGGGGUAGGGCCCUUCAGUUUCGCCCCUUUGAAAUUUCAAAUUCCAGUUUGUGGACAAAGUCCUAACUAUCUCACAAUAUAGGUCCCCAACCACUGACCAAACUCCAGUCCAGACAGCCACCUGGCUCGAGGCUGGCCCAGCUUUGCCUCUUCCUUUGGCGGCUCUGAAGGUCUGGGAGUAGGGGGACACCCCUGCAGCCCCAUCCACCCACCAGGACCUCGGCCCCUCAUUGCAGAGGGCUGGCUUCUCCCUGGAGCUGGCAUCUGACGCUGGCUGGUACGACAGCAGACACCAGACCAGAGGCACGGAGAGGUUGAGACUGUGCCCAAAUUCACACAACUGAUGAGAAACAAGAGGCAAAAGUCUGGCCAGAGUCUGUGCUCCUAACCCCGAGGCUGCCCAGCCUUUCCACAUGGCAGAGGCUCACUAUAUCGCCCUCCAUAGAGUGCUAUGGCAUCACAGCUCACAGCAACCUCAAACUCCUGGGCUUAAGUGAUUCUCUUCCCUUAGCCUCCCAAGUAGCUGGGACUACAGGCACCCUCCACAAUGCCCAGGCCCAGGAGGACUACACUUUCAUGCUUCCUUUGAAGCUACGUGUGACUUGUUUUGGCCAAUGAGAUGUGAGCAGAAAACAACUUGUGUUAUUCCCGGGCAGAAGCUUUAAGAGCCAGUGUUGUAGCUUGGAAGGAAGAAUAGAUACAGAGUCACCACGGAGAGGAGAACCCCUGAUGAUCUACAGUGGACAUGUUGGGACAAGAUGUGAAAGCUAUGCCCCUUGAGCAAUCAUUGAAAAUCCAAAGGAGUCCUACGUAUUGAACAAGAGGAGAGAAGUGGUAUGGUACAGUGUUCGAGGCCAUUGCUGUUGAGAUAGCAAUGGCACCAUCUACACAGCUGUUUGAACUUUCAAAAACCAUAGGCUCUUUAAGCAUGAUUUUCUUCAUCUAAAAAAUAGGAAUCAGUAAUAGGACAUGUUGGGUGGUGCCUGUGGCUCAGUGGGUAGGGCGGCCCCAUAUACCGAGGGUGGUGUGUUCAAACUCAGCCCCAACCAAACUGCAACAAAAAAAUAGCCGGGCAUUGUGGUGGGCUUCUGUAGUCUCAGCUACUUGGAGGCUGAGGCAAGAGAAUCUCCUAAGCCCAGGAGCUGGAGGUUGGUGUGAGCUGUGUGAUGCCAUGGCAUUCUACCAAGGAUGAUAAAGUGAAAUUCUGUCUCUACAAAAAAAAAAUAAUAAAAUAAUAAUAAUAGGACCUCUUUAUAGACUUCUUUGCAGAAUAAAUGUGAUAAGUCUUAUAAACCUGACAUGUAGUCACCCAACUUGUAAUUGUGUUACUUACAAAUUCAAAGUAGUUCCCUUUGGAAAACAGUGCUUGCUGAUUCUUAAAACUCCAGAGGACAAACCAGGACCAAUAGGUGAAUGCUACUGGGAGCAAAGCUUAGGCUCAAAAUGACCCUUGUAUCAGACACAAUUGUUCUACCAGAGAAAAAGCUGCUUUGUUAAAUAGUAAGUGUCCUGUCAUUGGAAGAAUUAAGCCCGAGCUAAAUGAGCACCUGCCAGGGAGGAUGGUGAGAGAAUUCAAGGAAUAGGUCAGAGAUCUAAUCAAAGCAGUAUCUCACAGGUGCAAACAUCUUAAAUAAAAUACUAUCAAAACAGCUGAGCAUGAUGGCUCAUGUCUGUAAUCUUAGCACUCUUGAGAGGAUGGGGGGAGGGUGUCCCUUGAACUCAGGAGUUUGAGACCAGCCUGAGCAAAAGUGAGACCCUAUCUCUACUAAAAAUAGAAAAACUAGCCAGAUUUUGUGGUGGGUGCUUGUAGUCCCUCCCUACUCAGGAGGCUGAGGCGAGAGGACUGCUCAAACCCAAGAGUAUGAGAUUGCUGUGAACUAUGACGCCACGGUACUCUACCUAUGGUGAUCCAGUGAGACUCUGUCUCAAAAAAAAAAAAAAUACUAUCAAAACCAAAUUCGUGUUGGGGAAACUGAAUAUCCAUAGGUAAAAGAAUGAAAUUGGGCUUUUUUUCUUUAUAACAUAUGCAAAAAAGUAACUAAAAAUGGAUUAGACCUAAAACUAUAAAACUCUUAGAAUAAAACACACAGGAAAAGUUUCAUGACAUUAGACACGCAGUGACUUCUUGGAUAUGACACCAUAAGCACAGGCAAUUAAAAAAAUUAAAUAGGCUCAGUGCUCAUAGCACAGUGGUUAUGGCGCCAGCCACAUACACUGAAGUUGGUGUAUGUUAGCCCUGGCCAGCUAAACAACAAUGACAACUGCAACAAAAAAUAGCCAGACAUUAUGGCGGGUGCCUGUAGUCCCAGCUACUUGGGAAGCUGAGACAAGAGAAUCGCUUGAUCCCAAGAGUUUGAGGUUGCUGUGAGCUGAGAUGCCAUGGCACUCUACUGAGGGUGAUAUAGUGAAACUCUGUCUCAAAAAAAAAAAUUAGAUAAAUUGAACUAUAUGGAAAUUAAAAACUUUUGUGUACCAAAGAGCACUAAUAACAGAGUGAAAAGGCAACCCAUUAAAUGGGAGAAAAUAUUUGUAAAUCAUGUACCUGAUGAAGGGUUAAUACACAGAUUAUAUAAAGAACACCAACAACUUAACAACAACAAAAAUAACAACUCUAGGCCUGGCAUGGUGGUUCAUGCCUAUAAUCCUAGCACUAUGGGAGGCCGAGGCAGGUGGAUUGCCUGAGCUCAGAGGUUUGAGACAGCCUGAGCCAGAGCAAGACCUUGUCUCUAAAAAUACAGCCAGGCAUUCUGGUGGGUGCCUGUAGACCCAGCUUCUUGGGAGGCUAAGGCAAGGGGAUCGCUUGAGCCCAAGAGUUUGAGGUUGCUAUGAGCUGUGAUGCCACAGUACUCCACAGAGGGCAACAAAGUGAGACUCUAUCUCAAAACAAAAAACAAACAAACAAACAAAAAAAACAAACUUUAUUUAAAAAUGGGCAAAGGAGGGUGGUGCCUGCUGCUCAAGGAGUAGGGUGCUGGCCCCAUAUACCAGGGGUGGCAAGUUCAAGCUCGGCCCCGGCCCAAAAACUGCAAAAAAAAAAAAAAAUGGGCAAAAGAAUUAAAUAGACAUUUUUUCUGAAGAAGACAUGCAAAUAACCAAUAAGCAUAUAAGAAGAUACUUAACAUCAUUAAUCAUUAAGGACAUGUAAAUCAAAAGCACAAUAAGAUACCACUUCAUACCUGCUGGGAUGGAUAUUAUAAAAUAACAACAAAAAAGGAAAAUAACAAAUAUUAGUGAACAUGGAGAAAAACCAUGCACUGCUGGUGGGAAUUUAAAAUAGGGCUAGGGAAAGCAGUAUGGCAGUUCCUCAAAAUAUUAAAAAUAGAAUUACCAUAUGAUCCUACAAUUGCACUUCUGAUGUGUAUCAAAAAAAUUGAAAGUAGGAUCUGGAGGAGAUAUUUGUAUAACCAUGGUUAUAGCAGCAUUAUUCAUAAUAGCCAAAAGGUGGAAGCAACCCAAGUGUCCAUCAGUGGAUGAAUGGUUAAAUAAAAUGUGGUAUAUCCUUAAAAUGGAAUAUUAUUCAACCUUAAAAAGGAAAGAAAUUCUGCCACAUGGUACUACUAUAUAGAUGACUCUUCAGGGCAUUAUGCUAAGGGAAAUAAGGCAGCCAUAAAAGUACAAAUACUAUGUGAUUCCAUUCAUGUAUAAAAGAUGUUUCUACAAGUGCUAAAAAAAAGUUCCUACCAAUUGAUAUGCGAAGAAAAAUAAUGCAAUAGAAAAAUGGGUAAAGGAUAUGAAGAAGCACACUCACAGCGGAGGAAACCCAAAUGAUACAAAGAACAUCUUCUAUAGUAAGAGAGGAAAUGUGAUUAUAAAGUGAAGUAUCAUUUUAUAUGAAUUAUCUUACAAAAUCAAGGCCCAAUGAGGAUUCAAAGCAACCCUAACUCCUGAACACCACUGGCUGAAGUGUUAUGGGUAGGUGAGUGUGAGCAAUUUACCAAUAGCUCAUGAAAGUGAAGAUGUCCAUUGCCUGAGAUCCAGAAAUUCCACUCCUGCAUGUUACCCUAGUGAAACUCCCAUCCACAGGUAUAAGAAUGUUCUUGGGAGUGUCAUUGAAGAUAGUGACAAAUUGGAAAAAACUCCAUUGUCAAAAAACAGAAUAAAACCAGGUGCAGUGGCUUGUACCUGAAAUCCCAGCACUUGGGUGGCUGAGGUGGGUGGAUUGCCUGAGCUCACAAGUUCGAGACCAGCCUGAGCAAGAGCGAGACCCCCGUCUCAAAAAAAUAGCCGGGUGUUGUGGUGGGCGCCUGUAGUCCCAGCUACUUGGGAGGCUGAGGCAAGAAAAUUGUGUAAGCCCAAAAGUUUAAGGUUGCUGUGAGCUGUGAUGCCAUGGCACCCUAUCAAGGGUGACAAAGUGAGAUUCUGCCUCAAAGAACAAACAAAAAAAAGAACAGAAUAAAGGUACUUUGGAUAUUCAUACACAGCAUUUUAAAUAGGUGAUCUACUAAAAAGCCAUUAUGUGGAGUAAAUGAAAGUUGCUGAAGGAUGCUUAUGAUGUACCAUUUAAACAAAUUUUCCAGGGGAGAGAACUGUGACUCAUGCCUAUAAUCCCACCACUUUGAGAGGUUGAGGUGGGAGCAUCCCUUGGGACCAGGAGUUUGAGACCAGCCUGGGCAACAUGAUGAGACCCCUUCUGAACAAAAAAUAUAAAAUAUUAGCCAGGUGUGGAGGCAUGGGCCUGUAGUCCCAGCUACUUGGGAGGCUAAGCCACGAGGAUGACUUGACCUUGGGAGGUUGAGGCUGCCGUGACCUAUGUUAAUGCCACUACAUUCCAGCCUAAGUGACAGAGUGAGACCCUGUAAAAAGAUAGAUAUCCCAGAUAUGCAAAAUAAUAUUAUAUAUCAUGUAUGUGACCAUGUCUGGUAAAGGUAUGAAAACAUGUCUAGUGAUGAUAAACACGAAAGGUUGACAGUGGUUACCUAUGAGAAAGGUAUCAGGGGGAGGACAGAGCGCCUCAACUCUAAGUACAAUGUUUUAUUUUUUAUUAUAAUAAAAAAAGAAUCCAAAGAAAAUAUUGCCAUGUCAUAGGAUUUGAGAAAUUGAACAGUGAAUACAUUGAUUUUCACAAUAUUAUUCUAUUUUCUGCAUAGUUAUAAUUUUCCUUCUUUAAAAAACAGAGAAAAGAGACUAAGAAAGAAAAACCAACUGCCUUCCUAUAUAACAGCAACAGAUAAUUUGGUAGUAUAAUUUUUAAAAAAUAAGUCUGGUAGGUUUGAAUCUGGCCUGGGCCAGCUAAACAAUAAUGACAACUGUAAUAAAAAAUAGCCGGGCGUUGUGGUAAGUGCCUGUAGUCCCAGCUACUUGGGAGGCUGAGGCAAGAGAAUCACUUAAGCCCAAGAGUUGGAGGUUGCUGUGAGCUAUGACGCCAAGGGCGACAAAGCUCAUGAGACUCUGUCUCAAAAAUAAUAAUAAUAAUACUUAAUAAUACUUUAAAAUACUUAAUACUUUAAUAAUACUUAAAAUAAUACUAGAAAAUUUGUACACUGACAAACAACCAUGAGAAAAAGUCCAGAAAACUAUUUUUAAAAAACAGCAAGGAAUAUUCGAAAAUAUAGUAUUUCUCCUUCUAGGGUCAGAGAAAGCUGUAACAACAGGUGUUGUGUUUUUCAAGGGCACCUGUGUAGGGGCCCUGCACGCUGUCUCUUAGAUGGAGUGGCCAAGGCAUUGCCAUGUGUCUAAGAAGUUCUCUGAUGUGAAAUUUUGCAGCUUUCCUUAAUCCAAUCUUUUUCAAACAUCUAACAAUAGACUCCUUCUGUCUGAGUGGUCUCGUCUCGGGCAAGGCUAACUUAGUGACCUCAAUGUUCCCUUUCCAUUCCACCUGUCCACUGCUCUGUUCCGGGCUCUGCCACUAACACGUAAGACUUUGGCUUAAUUGCCUUUCCUCUUGGGCCUCAGUUUAUUAAGCUAUUAUGUGGGUGUGUGAAGUUUAAACUAUAAUGUCUCUUACCUUUUCCCUGCUCUAAAACCUGGUGUUGGAGCCCUAAGUGUAGAUGACAUUUUCACUUAAUUUUAUCCCUCUUUCACUGAUUAACUUUUUCUUACUUUAACUAAAUCAGAAAGUAGAGGAAUUAUGAAAACACAGAGAAGUAAAACAAAAAAGAACCAAAUUUACUCUCCCCAAAUGUCACUUGUCAAAAGGUAAAAUGAUAGCUGGUGUUUAUGGAGCCUUCGUGCUGAGGACAAACUAAGAUAGCUCAUUUAACUUCUUAUCCUCAUUGAACAGAUGAGAUGACUGUACAGUGUACAGAUGAGGGUCAGAGCGGUAAAGUGACUGUCCAAGGGCAUAAAGCUGGAGUAGCUCUGACUCUGCAGCACAAAUUCUCAGCCACUACCACAGUAGGCCUCCUCCUGUGAAGGGACCCUUCAUUGCUGCCAAGAUUCCUUUUCCUCCCAACUCCCUAAGUUUUCAGGGUUCUCUCAUCUCUCGAGAGGAACUAUGGACCCAGUCUCUUCCAAAAACAAAACUCUGCACCUCCACUGUACCCAGACCUGUGUCCUUCCCCCAAACUCAGCCCACCUUCUCUCUAGAAAAACUAUCAACUUGAGCUGGAGAAGGGGAAAAAAAUAAGCCUCUCCCCAUCCCAACUCCACCCCUCAAAUCUCUGGAUUUGGGGUAAAUUCACAAGCUAGGGGACAGAAGAAUGGGUGUGUAAUUAAGUUUCAAAUUGACCAUUGUUUUAUGUGAAUGUUUGAUAAAGAGAACACAAUGGCUGCCAGAUGGGGGCUGGGAGUGAGAGUUCCCAUGUGGACAAUUCUAGAAGAUACGCCUGGAGUCCUGGAGCCUGGCCUCUGACUGAAGGGGUAGCUAGGCUACAAGGCGAAGACACCAAAGAUAAUUUGGGUGUGGGGAGGAGACGCAGCUAAAGAGGUUUGGCUGGAAGUGGUCCAUUCAGUAAUAGAAAAUGGAGACAGAAUAAGUUAGCAGCGAAUUGAAGGGACUAGACCAGUGCUGCCUAGUAGAACUACAAGUGCAAUACACGGAUGUAAUUUUAAAUGUUCUCAUAGUCACAUUUUAAAAAGCAGUAAAUCUACAGAAACAGAAGAUUGCUCUUACAUAUAAUGAGCUUUCCCUUGGUCUUAGCAAUCCCAAACUUAAGAGCCCUUGAUGCCCAGAGGGGUAACUGAAACAUAAGGAACAGAUGGGGGUAUGAGAAAUUUCACUCUCCUGUAAGAAAAACAAUGCAGCAGAUAUAAUGGUUUAUAUUCAUUGAUAUAAUAUCAGUGUAGGGACACUAAGGAAUAGUGGGGACUGUGGCAAAUUUGAGAAAGCACACCCAAUAGAAGUCCCAGGAGACUCCUCCUCAUGCAUAUAGGGGGAAUCACUGUUGCUAAAACUUUUUUCUUUUUUGAGGCAGGGCCUCACUCUGUUGCCAAGGGUGGAAUGCAGUGGUGUCAUCAUAGCUCACUGCAACCUCAAACUCCUGGGGUUAAGCUAUCCUCCUGCCUCUUGAGUAGCUGAGACUACACACCUGGCUAAUUUUUCUAUUAUUUGUAAAGAUGGAGUCUUGCUUUUGCUCAGGCUGGCCUCAAACUGCUGACAUGGGGCAGUCCUCUAGCCUCUGACUCCCAAAGUGCUAAGAUUAUAGGCAUAAGCCACGCCCUCUCUCAGUUUCUAAUUUUUUGAAAGAAACUGGAAGUCAAGAUUUUUAAAGGUUAACAGUCAAUUCAGAUUUUAUUUUUUGAAAAAUUCAGUGGGCUGCCGGGUGCAGCGGCUCAUACCUGUAAUCCCAGCACUGGGAGGCUGAGGCUGGAGGAUUGCUUGAGCUCAGGAGUUCGAGGCUUGUUGGAGUGAGAGUGAGGCCCCGACUCAUGAAACAAAUUGAAAAACCCAACCCGGUGCCACGGCGAGCACCUGUAAUCCCAGUGGCUUCAGAUUCUGAGCCAGCAGGAUGCCCACAGCCCAAGUGUGAGGUUGCAGUGAGCUAGGACACCAUUGCACUCUGCUCAGGGCAUAGGGUAGAAUUCUGUCUCUACCAAAACAAACAAACAAAAAAAAAACAACAAAAAAUUGGGCUGGACCUCAACCUCUGGUCUCUUUUAAACCACUUUUUUUUUUUUUUUUUGAGACAGAGUCUCACUAUGUUGCCCUGGAUAGAGUGUCAUGGCCUCACAGCUCACAGCAACCUCAAACUCAUGAGCUUAAGCCAUUCUCCUGCCUCAGCCUCCCAAGUAGCUGGGACAACAGGCGCCCACCACAAAACGCCCGCCUAUUUUGUUGUUGUUGUUGUCAUUGUUGUUUAGUUGGCCUGGGCUGUGUUCAAACCCACCAGCCCCAGUGUAUGUGGCCAGUGCCCUAACCGCUGAGCAUGGGCGCCAAGUCUCCUUUAAAGCAUUUUUACAAGUUUAAAUCAUAUCGUGCAGAAGAGGAAACUGAGGUUCAGAAUGGUUAAAUGUUUUCCCAUCUCACAGCAAAGACCAGGAAUUAGCUCUUCAGGUUCCCAUCCCUGGUCAUUUCUGCUAUGAAGCUAAUAACAAACAUUGCUUUUCCGCUGUUGAGCGUUUACUCAAGGCCAGGUUCUGUACUGUGCAUACAAUAUUAGGAUGACACCGUGCAGGGGGUACUGUUUGGGUAACUGAGGCUCAGAAAAGUCAAGAAAAUUGCCCAAGGUCACACUGUGGGGCUUGAAUCUGAGUCUAUGGGUGAUUACAAGCUUCUAGAUGCUUCCACCUGCUACACUCCCUUCCGCUUCACCAGGCUGAAGAACCUCAGAGAAUAAGGAGUCCAGUCGUUUCCACCUGGGGCUCCUCUGAGGGGCAAGGGGCUAAGGGUGGGCAGCCUCCUGAACCUCACACUUGCUUUAUUUAACCCUUGCGCCUCGCAGAUCCUUCCUGUGAACUGCCUUCCGGGUAAGAUUUUGUUUGAAGAACGUUUUCACUGACUUUUUUUCCCCCCCGAAAACCACCUAUCUGCCCAUGCUUUCUCAGUUUAGGCCCAGAGAUGGCACGUUAGGACCAGGGUGGGACCACACCUGGGUUCCUUCCUUGGUCUUCAUAUUGAGCCUGAGGACAGCUGAGUCCCGCCUGAGAAGCUGCCCAAGGGUGUGUGCCCUGGCCUCUCUCGGCUCUGCCCAGGGAAGGGCCGCCUGCCUUCUGCCUGCCUCACCACCUCCUCCGCCUAUUUGAAUAACUUUUUGACCUGUUCUUAGUAAGCUCCCAAGGCAUGGCUGCCUCCACUGUUUGUCCCAGGGAACCCUGGGGCCUUUGCAGUUGGGUGGCCCAGGUGUGGUCAGUCCCACUGCAGACAGUUGUCAAACAGAGGCUGUCUGGGCAGAGGGAGGCCUGUUUACCCAGGGCAGAGCCCAGGCAGAGGCUGCAGCUUCCUCCUUACGUCACUGACCCAUCCAGCUGCUCAGCACACUGACUCAGCUGUCCUCAUCUGUAUUUGCUCAUUCCACAAACAUUUAUGGAGCACCUACUGUGUGCCAAGCAUUGUUCUCCAAGAUGGGGAUAUGGCAGGGAGCAAGACAGUCCGAUUCCCUGCGGUAAUGGAACGUCUGUUGUAAUGAAGGAGAUAAAGGGUAAACAGAUCUAUGGACGUGUAAUGUCAGAGCUAUAGAGGGUAAUGGGAUUGGCCAUGAUGGAGGAGGUGGGCCAGUCUUAGAUUUGGGUGUUCAAGGUAGGCCCCUCUGAGUGGAGGCCAUUCGAGCUAAAGCUCAACCUGAGAGAAAAAAUGAGCUACGGGAAGGUCUGGGGAAAGGUGUUCUCAGCAGAGGGAACUAUAAGGACAAAGGCCCUGAGGUAGUAGAGCACUUAGCUUGGCUGAAAGGCAGUCAGAGGCCAGUGUGGCUGACAGGAGUCAGCAAAAGGGAGAAAGACAAGAGACCAUCAGACAAGAGACAGAGCCUGCAGGGCCUUUUGGGGCAAAGAAAAGAGCUUGAGCUUUCUUAAGGGUGAUGCAAAUCCCUUAGAGAGUUUUCAGCUGGGAUUUGACCCUGAACUUCUCCUGUAAUGCUGCUUUUUCCCCUCCAUGACUUUCUGCCCCAAUUCUUGGGUGUUUGAAAUUAGUCUCCUUUCCUUUCUAACUUUUGUUUUUUUUUCU